AAGGGCGUGAACCGCUUAGAAUAAAACGGACGGAGCCGUCAGUGGCCUGUCGGACUCAGUCGAUACGACGCGUCUCUAUCGAUUCCUUGUCUGAGCGAAUCUUAUUGUCAGACUGGAACCGGUACGAUCGAUGAGGCGUUCGUUCGAUGCAUUUCCGGCGGGUAUGCGCCGCGACCGAUGCGAACGGCUGGUGAAUCUGGCGAAUUGCGGUCGAUAAGGUCGUUUUCGGACGUCCACAUCGAGACCAGUUCGUCGGGCGUUAGUCGCCAGACUGUGAGGCAUCGAGCGCGAUCGAUACAUAGGAAACGUCGGCGUUAAAUGCGUCGUUCCGGUGGAACGCCGAUACGCGGAUCGACGCCUGCUCGUCAGGCGCUCGAUUCGUUAGUGCAGGCGCUAGAAACCGUGUUCGACCGUUUAUACGACGUUUCGGCGUCAGCGGCGUCCGAGACGGUCGCCCGUCCGACCCGUCUUGAAACACGGACCAAGGAGUCUAACGUAUGCGCGAGCUAAUGGGCGUGAAAACCCCAUAAGCGCAAUGAAAGUGAAAGCCGUCUCGGCACGGUGCAAGGGUACGAUCCUAUGGCCGUCCUUCACGGGACUAAGUAGGCGCAGUACCGUCCCGUCCUGAUCGCUUUGUCGAUAGGGCGGAGACUGAGUGUAUACGUUGGGACCCGAAAGAUGGUGAACUAUGCCUGAGCAGAGCGAAGCCAGAGGAAACUCUGGUGGAGGUUCGUAGCGGUUCUGACGUGCAAAUCGAUCGUCAGACUGGG
RNAcentral lists this ribosomal RNA (770 nucleotides) under Longidorus sp. 20181230LSD. RNAcentral describes it as "partial large subunit ribosomal RNA". It matches the Rfam family "Eukaryotic large subunit ribosomal RNA", at positions 393 to 914 of the family's 3401-position model. Lineage: Eukaryota; Metazoa; Nematoda; Enoplea; Dorylaimida; Longidoridae. The record is from RNAcentral.